This 402-nucleotide ribosomal RNA is filed under the name uncultured prokaryote. RNAcentral's name for it is "bacterial SSU rRNA". It matches the Rfam family "Bacterial small subunit ribosomal RNA", at positions 355 to 774 of the family's 1533-position model. The record is from RNAcentral.
UGGGGAAUAUUGGACAAUGGGCGAAAGCCUGAUCCAGCAAUGCCGCGUGAGUGAUGAAGGCCUUAGGGUUGUAAAGCUCUUUUACCCGGGAAGAUAAUGACUGUACCGGGAGAAUAAGCCCCGGCUAACUCCGUGCCAGCAGCCGCGGUAAUACGGAGGGGGCUAGCGUUGUUCGGAAUUACUGGGCGUAAAGCGUACGUAGGCGGCUUUGUAAGUUAGAGGUGAAAGCCCGGGGCUCAACCCCGGAAUAGCCUUUAAGACUGCAUCGCUUGAACGUCGGAGAGGUGAGUGGAAUUCCGAGUGUAGAGGUGAAAUUCGUAGAUAUUCGGAAGAACACCAGUGGCGAAGGCGGCUCACUGGACGACUGUUGACGCUGAGGUACGAAAGCGUGGGGAGCAAACA